RNAcentral lists this ribosomal RNA (1461 nucleotides) under uncultured bacterium. Its description in RNAcentral is "bacterial SSU rRNA". It matches the Rfam family "Bacterial small subunit ribosomal RNA". The record is from RNAcentral.
AGGGUUUGAUCAUGGCUCAGGAUGAACGCUGGCGGCGUGCCUAACACAUGCAAGUCGAGCGAUUCUCUUCGGAGAAGAGCGGCGGACGGGUGAGUAACGCGUGGGUAACCUGCCCUGUACACACGGAUAACAUACCGAAAGGUAUGCUAAUACGAGAUAAUAUGCUUUUAUCGCAUGGUAGAAGUAUCAAAGCUCCGGCGGUACAGGAUGGACCCGCGUCUGAUUAGCUAGUUGGUAAGGUAAGGGCUUACCAAGGCGACGAUCAGUAGCCGACCUGAGAGGGUGAUCGGCCACAUUGGAACUGAGACACGGUCCAAACUCCUACGGGAGGCAGCAGUGGGGAAUAUUGCACAAUGGGCGAAAGCCUGAUGCAGCAACGCCGCGUGAGCGAUGAAGGCCUUCGGGUCGUAAAGCUCUGUCCUCAAGGAAGAUAAUGACGGUACUUGAGGAGGAAGCCCCGGCUAACUACGAGCCAGCAGCCGCGGUAAUACGUAGGGGGCUAGCGUUAUCCGGAAUUACUGGGCGUAAAGGGUGCGUAGGUGGUUUCUUAAGUCAGAGGUGAAAGGCUACGGCUCAACCGUAGUAAGCCCUUGAAACUGGGAAACUUGAGUGCAGGAGAGGAGAGUGGAAUUCCUAGUGUAGCGGUGAAAUGCGUAGAUAUUAGGAGGAACACCAGUUGCGAAGGCGGCUCUCUGGACUGUAACUGACACUGAGGCACGAAAGCGUGGGGAGCAAACAGGAUUAGAUACCCUGGUAGUCCACGCCGUAAACGAUGAGUACUAGCUGUCGGAGGUUACCCCCUUCGGUGGCGCAGCUAACGCAUUAAGUACUCCGCCUGGGAAGUACGCUCGCAAGAGUGAACUCAAGGAAUUGACGGGGACCCGCACAAGUAGCGGAGCAUGUGGUUUAAUUCGAAGCAACGCGAAGAACCUUACCUAAGCUUGACAUCCUUUUGACCGAUGCCUAAUCGCAUCUUUUCUUCGGGGACAGAAGUGACAGGUAGUGCAUGGUUGUCGUCAGCUCGUGUCGUGAGAUGUUGGGUUAAGUCCCGCAACGAGCGCAACCCUUGCCUUUAGUUGCCAGCAUUAAGUUGGGCACUCUAGAGGGACUGCCAGGGAUAACCUGGAGGAAGGUGGGGAUGACGUCAAAUCAUCAUGCCCCUUAUGCUUAGGGCUACACACGUGCUACAAUGGGUGGUACAGAGGGCAGCCAAGUCGUGAGGCGGAGCUAAUCCCUUAAAGCCAUUCUCAGUUCGGAUUGUAGGCUGAAACUCGCCUACAUGAAGCUGGAGUUACUAGUAAUCGCAGAUCAGAAUGCUGCGGUGAAUGCGUUCCCGGGUCUUGUACACACCGCCCGUCACACCACGGGAGUUGGGGGCGCCCGAAGCCGGAUUGCUAACCUUUUGGAAGCGUCCGUCGAAGGUGAAAUCAAUAACUGGGGUGAAGUCGUAACAAGGUAACC